AAAACUUUCAACAACGGAUCUCUUGGUUCUGGCAUCGAUGAAGAACGCAGCGAAAUGCGAUAAAUAAUGUGAAUUGCAGAAUUCAGUGAAUCAUCGAAUCUUUGAACGCACAUUGCGCCC
RNAcentral lists this ribosomal RNA (120 nucleotides) under Protoblastenia incrustans. RNAcentral's name for it is "5.8S ribosomal RNA". It matches the Rfam family "5.8S ribosomal RNA", at positions 1 to 118 of the family's 154-position model. Rfam says of the family: 5.8S ribosomal RNA (5.8S rRNA) is a component of the large subunit of the eukaryotic ribosome. It is transcribed by RNA polymerase I as part of the 45S precursor that also contains 18S and 28S rRNA. The record is from RNAcentral. Lineage: Eukaryota; Fungi; Ascomycota; Lecanoromycetes; Lecanorales; Psoraceae.